UACGUAGGGCGCGAGCGUUGUCCGGAAUUACUGGGCGUAAAGCGUGCGCAGGCGGUCCGUUAAGACAGAUGUGAAAUCCCCGGGCUUAACUUGGGAACUGCAUUUGGGACUGCAAGGCUGGAGUACGGCAGAGGGAGGUGGAAUUCCACGUGUAGCAGUGAAAUGCGUAGAGAUGUGGAGGAACACCGGAUGGCGAAGGCAGCCUCCUGGGCUAGUACUGACGCUCAUGCGAAAGCGUGGG
Molecule: ribosomal RNA, 241 nt
Filed under: uncultured bacterium
Lineage: Bacteria
Description: partial 16S ribosomal RNA
Rfam family: Bacterial small subunit ribosomal RNA
Source: RNAcentral